Daphnia magna is the source of this 1205-nucleotide RNA transcript. RefSeq lists it as uncharacterized. The record is from RefSeq and is a predicted model, not a curated record. Lineage: Eukaryota; Metazoa; Arthropoda; Branchiopoda; Diplostraca; Daphniidae. The transcript is spliced from 2 exons.
ACUGUGGCAUAUAAAUACAGGACAGUCUGAAGAGAAGGACUAUUCUUACAGCGAUUUUCAAAGCGACUACUACAGUCACAAUUACCAUGUGUCGUCUUGGUUUUAUCAUGAUUCUUGGGGCAUUAGUGCUCUUGACUAAUUUACAGAGAGCUGACUCUUUCAACCAUAACCGUGUGAAUGCCCCAGCUCCCGUCAACGAUGUAGACUCUCUCGAACACAACGACGAUAGCAACGAAGGUCAGUACAAUUCAACCCGAAACAAGUAUCGCCCAAUCUGACGAAAACGAUGAUCAUCACGAUUCCGAAGAAAUUAAAACAGUUAAACGAGACGCCCGCUUUCUGACCGCCAUCGACCAUUCGUCUGAAGAGGACACAACAACAGAAACUCCUUUCGACAGCCAGUCGGAUGAACAUGACGAUGAUGUGAUUUUGGUCAAGGUUGUUAAGAGGGAUAUCAAGGCAGCGACUGUCGACCAUUCCGUUGAAGAUGACGCGACAACUGAAGCAGCCGACCAGUCCGAUGAACACGACGGUAUCGAAUCCGAAGAGAAGAGAAUCAAGAAACGAAGUGUUCAUCAAAUAGCCAAGACAAUUCUAGGACGAAUUGAUUCUUCAGAAGAAGACACGACGGACAGCCAGCUUCUUGACAGCCGUUCUGAUGAACACUCGGAUGAAAAAAGGGUCCUGAAACGAGACGUCCUCCAGGCAACAGUUGACCUCUCAUCAGAAGAAGAUACAACGGAAUCAGCAAUCGUUGGUAGCCAAUCGGGCGAGCGUGAUGAUGUCAGCUUGGAACACAACAGGUUAGGUAAAAGGGAUAUUCACUUAGUAGCGGUCAAAGUUGAUCACUCGUCUGAAGAAGAUACAACAGAAGCAACGCUCCUUGACAACCGAACAGUUGAGAAUUUGAGCUCGGAGGAAAAGUUAGUGAAACGCGAUGUCAACCUUCUGGCUUCAACUGUGGACCACUCUUCCGAAGAACAUACGACGGAUAGUGUAUUGGACUUUGCCUCGCAGGAAGAUUCAGUUGAAGACGCACUUGUCCGAUCAACAUUGGACGUCAAGCUGUUGCCUUCUACUGCACUCAGAAUUUAAAUCGCAUUUUGGCAAACAUUUUUUUUUCUGGAAUUUUUUUAAAUAGAAAAUAUUACAAAUUUUUACUGUUGUACCUUCUCGUGACGCAAAUAUAGAUACAUUGUUUCGUA